RNAcentral lists this non-coding RNA (30 nucleotides) under Mus musculus (house mouse). The record is from RNAcentral. Lineage: Eukaryota; Metazoa; Chordata; Mammalia; Rodentia; Muridae.
UGCCACUCUGUUCAGUUAAUUAUACUUUCC